UGUUGUUGAGCUGAGGAUGGCGUAGAGGCUUUCUUCAUUAUUUUACUACUUUCGAGUUAUUUUAGUUGUCGCUCUGAUAUGUAACACUAGGAGGGGUUACAUUGUUCCUUUUGUUCUCUGAGAGUUUUGAUUUAUUUUACGAAGUUUUUACAUUUGAGACAAAAAAAAUGGUUUUAAUGUGUUUUUGAGUUUCGUUGUUGAUUUAUGUUAUAAUGUUGAUAAUGAUGCAUGUUGAGAAUGUGUAACACCGAUAAUGACAAAAAAUUAAAUGUUUU
RNAcentral lists this long non-coding RNA (275 nucleotides) under Lathyrus oleraceus (garden pea). Its description in RNAcentral is "Pisum sativum (pea) long non-coding RNA (PSAT_LNC016269)". The record is from RNAcentral. Lineage: Eukaryota; Viridiplantae; Streptophyta; Magnoliopsida; Fabales; Fabaceae.